UACGAACUGUGCGAACGUUAUUCGGAAUCACUGGGCUUACAGGGUGCGUAGGCGGCUUGUUAAGUAGGGUGUGAAAGCCCCCGGCUCAACCGGGGAAUUGCGCCCUAAACUGGCGAGCUGGAGUGAGAUAGGGGUGUGUGGAACUUCCGGUGGAGCGGUGAAAUGUGUUGAUAUCGGAAGGAACGCCGGUGGCGAAAGCGACACACUGGAUCUUGUCUGACGCUGAGGCACGAAAGCCAGGGGAG
Molecule: ribosomal RNA, 245 nt
Filed under: uncultured bacterium
Lineage: Bacteria
Description: partial 16S ribosomal RNA
Rfam family: Bacterial small subunit ribosomal RNA
Source: RNAcentral